RNAcentral lists this ribosomal RNA (443 nucleotides) under uncultured bacterium. RNAcentral describes it as "partial 16S ribosomal RNA". It matches the Rfam family "Bacterial small subunit ribosomal RNA", at positions 338 to 795 of the family's 1533-position model. The record is from RNAcentral.
CCUACGGGGCGCAGCAGUGGGGAAUAUUGGACAAUGGGGGGAACCCUGAUCCAGCGACGCCGCGUGAGUGAAGAAGUAUUUCGGUAUGUAAAGCUCUAUCAGCAGGGAAGAAAGAAAUGACGGUACCUGACUAAGAAGCCCCGGCUAACUACGUGCCAGCAGCCGCGGUAAUACGUAGGGGGCAAGCGUUAUCCGGAUUUACUGGGUGUAAAGGGAGCGUAGACGGCGAUGCAAGUCUGAAGUGAAAGGCGGGGGCCCAACCCCCGGACUGCUUUGGAAACUGUAUGGCUGGAGUGCAGGAGAGGUAAGUGGAAUUCCGAGUGUAGCGGUGAAAUGCGUAGAGAUUAGGAGGAACACCAGUGGCGAAGGCGGCUUACUGGACUGUAACUGACGUUGAGGCUCGAAAGCGUGGGGAGCAAACAGGAUUAGAUACCCCAGUAGUC